GACGAACGCUGGCGGCGUGCUUAACACAUGCAAGUCGAACGAAGAGCGAUGGAAGCUUGCUUCUAUCAAUCUUAGUGGCGAACGGGUGAGUAACGCGUAAUCAACCUGCCCUUCAGAGGGGGACAACAGUUGGAAACGACUGCUAAUACCGCAUACGAUCUAACCUCGGCAUCGAGGAUAGAUGAAAGGUGGCCUCUACAUGUAAGCUAUCACUGGAGGAGGGGAUUGCGUCUGAUUAGCUAGUUGGAGGGGUAACGGCCCACCAAGGCGAUGAUCAGUAGCCGGUCUGAGAGGAUGAACGGCCACAUUGGGACUGAGACACGGCCCAGACUCCUACGGGAGGCAGCAGUGGGGAAUCUUCCGCAAUGGACGAAAGUCUGACGGAGCAACGCCGCGUGAGUGAGGACGGCCUUCGGGUUGUAAAGCUCUGUUAAUCGGGACGAAAGGCCUUCUUGCGAAUAGUUAGAAGGAUUGACGGUACCGGAAUAGAAAGCCACGGCUAACUACGUG
Molecule: ribosomal RNA, 510 nt
Filed under: uncultured bacterium
Lineage: Bacteria
Description: partial 16S ribosomal RNA
Rfam family: Bacterial small subunit ribosomal RNA
Source: RNAcentral